RNAcentral lists this ribosomal RNA (506 nucleotides) under uncultured bacterium. RNAcentral describes it as "partial 16S ribosomal RNA". The record is from RNAcentral.
GGAGUUAGCCGGUGCUUCUUCUGUGAGUGAUGUCCUUCCUGCCGGCUAUUAACCCGCAGGCCUUCUUCCUCACUGAAAGUGCUUUACAACCCGAAGGCCUUCUUCACACACGCGGCAUGGCUGGAUCAGGGUUGCCCCCAUUGUCCAAUAUUCCCCACUGCUGCCUCCCGUAGGAGUCUGGGCCGUGUCUCAGUCCCAGUGUGGCUGAUCAUCCUCUCAGACCAGCUACGGAUCGUCGCCUUGGUGAGCCGUUACCUCACCAACCAGCUAAUCCGACAUAGGCUCAUCCGAUAGCGCGAGGCCCGAAGGUCCCCCGCUUUCCCCCGUAGGGCGUAUGCGGUAUUAGCCUGGGUUUCCCCAGGUUAUCCCCCACUACCGGGCAGAUUCCUAUGCAUUACUCACCCGUCCGCCGCUCGCCACCAGGGAGCAAGCUCCCCGUGCUGCCGCUCGACUUGCAUGUGUUAGGCCUGCCGCCAGCGUUCAUCUGAGCCAGAAUCGAACCCUGA